GUUCGCUUAUAUGUUCCCAAGCAUUAAAAGGUACAUAUAUGUACCUUUUCCUUUAAAGGUUAAGGUACAAUAUCAAGAGCCAGCCCUGAUUGGCUGCUUGAUUUUCAAAUUAAAAGAACGUCCAGUUGGCGGUCUUUCUUUCGGCGGAGACGAAGUCAUAGCACGUAACAGGGCAGUAAAAUCAGCAGUGUAAUAUUUGCAGUGUUAAAAGUUAUUAAUUCCCAAAGAUUUGAAUUAACAAUCCACAGUGUUAAACAGUACUCGUGUUCAGUGUUGUUAUAUGGUGUAAUUUCACUUUUACACUAAAAGUGCGAAAUAAAAGACCCGCCGAAUUGUCUGGACUCCGCCCUUCAGUGACUGCUGCCUCGCGAAGCGACAACGCCAUCCUUUCUUCGAACGACCGAGACGGUAAGCUGGACUGCUUUUCUCUUGAUAAAAGUACACUGGAAAAACAUUUUUGUUGAUAAUUUAACUCGAAAUAUGAUUUGGUGGUGAACACAUUUAGAAAUUACUAAUCGCAAGUGUUUUGUCAGGUUCAGUGUUAAGGUCGUUCGUUAAUUUAUGUUAUAACGUUAUAUGCUUUACGCUUCUUUUAUUUUUAGUUGGUCGUCCUCUCGCCUCUGUUCCCUCCUCGGCCUGGGGUUACUGCGAAUCUGGCGCUGAAGACUGAAGCUGCUAACGUUAUAUUCGAAGCCUCAGAAGACCUUCAAGGAUCCAGUUGACCUCUGAAUCAGCUGUUAAGAAAAUGGGACAGUUAUAUUGCUUCAAUUGGUCUCCUACUUCAUUUGAUUCCAC
This is a long non-coding RNA of Cyprinus carpio carpio, 795 nucleotides long. Lineage: Eukaryota; Metazoa; Chordata; Actinopteri; Cypriniformes; Cyprinidae. The record is from Ensembl.